RNAcentral lists this ribosomal RNA (246 nucleotides) under uncultured bacterium. RNAcentral's name for it is "partial 16S ribosomal RNA". It matches the Rfam family "Bacterial small subunit ribosomal RNA", at positions 531 to 776 of the family's 1533-position model. The record is from RNAcentral.
GGUGCGAGCGUUGUCCGGAAUUAUUGGGCGUAAAGAGCUUGUAGGCGGUCUGUCGCGUCUGCUGUGAAAAUCCGGGGCUCAACCCCGGACUUGCAGUGGGUACGGGCAGACUAGAGUGUGGUAGGGGAGACUGGAAUUCCUGGUGUAGCGGUGAAAUGCGCAGAUAUCAGGAGGAACACCGAUGGCGAAGGCAGGUCUCUGGGCCACUACUGACGCUGAGAAGCGAAAGCAUGGGGAGCGAACAGG